UUAAGUUCAGCGGGUAUCCCUACCUGAUCCGAGGUCAAACUUAGAGAGUGGGGGUUGAUGGCUAGCGUCCACCGGGUCCCUAUAGCGAGGAUAUUUACUACGCUCAGGGCCUCGACGGCACCGCCACUGAUUUUAAGGCCCGCUGGGUGAGCAGCGGAGCCCAAUACCAAGCUAUGCUUGAGGGUUGUAAUGACGCUCGA
Molecule: unclassified non-coding RNA, 200 nt
Filed under: Helotiales sp.
Lineage: Eukaryota; Fungi; Ascomycota; Leotiomycetes; Helotiales
Description: partial internal transcribed spacer 2
Source: RNAcentral